GUGUUUGCUUCAGCAGCACAUAUACUAAAAUUGGAAUGAUAUAGAGAAUAUUAGCAUAGCCCCUGCACAAGAAUGACAUGCAAAUUCAUGAAAAGUUCCAUACUUUU
This 107-nucleotide small nuclear RNA is filed under the name Notamacropus eugenii (tammar wallaby). The record is from RNAcentral. Lineage: Eukaryota; Metazoa; Chordata; Mammalia; Diprotodontia; Macropodidae.